ACACCAUAGGUGUCUGGGGGAAAGUGGAAAGAAAAUAGGAAAACAAACAGAAGUUAGCUGUGGAGAAGGAGGAUGCGUAUAGGCAAGAAGCUUGGGCAAGAAGUUUCUGAAGAUAAAGGCAGUGCUGAUAUUUGUAACACAAGAGGAUAUGGGUCACCAACAGUGUGUGGGCUACUCAUUGUGGAGGCCUCUUUUGUGCUGGCGCACAGGCUUAGUUUCUCCUUGGCAUGUGAGAUCUUCAUGGACCAGGGAUCGAACCCACGUUCCCUGCAUUGGCAGCUCCUCUCUUCCAGCCAAACUCAUCCAUACAUACCUCAGUGCAUACACCCAUAGUCCUGUCUAGACCUGUGAUAGUGCAUCCUGUGAAGACCUUCCCUUUGCUUAUCUAAGAACUCCUCUCCUUCAAGCCAUCCUACCCUCGAGAAGACUUCCUCCUCUAGAGAAAUCCUUUGCCACUUCUUCACGACCCA
This is a long non-coding RNA of Bos taurus (domestic cattle), 470 nucleotides long. The record is from Ensembl. NCBI's taxonomy places the organism in Eukaryota, Metazoa, Chordata, Mammalia, Artiodactyla, Bovidae.